Molecule: long non-coding RNA, 1505 nt
Filed under: Capsicum annuum
Lineage: Eukaryota; Viridiplantae; Streptophyta; Magnoliopsida; Solanales; Solanaceae
Description: long non-coding RNA (CANN_LNC000102)
Source: RNAcentral
CCUCUGAGAUUAAGGAAAAUUUACCACAGCUGGUCAGUGAAACUGCAGUGUAGGAAGUGGUGUCUCACUGUCUCUGUAUCCUUGCCACAUAAGGAGCACCUGUUCUGCCUCUUGAGACAUGAAAGACUGGACAAACAAGCCUCUUUAGGAAUUUAAGGUACACAUCCAAGAAUAUAGCAUAAUAUGGCAAGAGUAGAAGUUGAUAAAAAGUACUUCCAAAAAGGAUGUGGCAUUUUUUGGCUACCAUUUCAGAAAUCAUAUACGUUCAAAGGUUAUAAACCCUUGAAAUAAGUAAUUUAGCAAACUAACCAUUCUUCAAAACUAAGAAAAAUUAAUGCAAGUACUUGCAACGUCAGUAAUACCAAGCAGAAUUUAUGUGAAUUGAAAUACCAGCGCACUUAACUGAAACUAAAGUCAUUAUCCUUAUCCGUGGAUAACUUAUCUGACUAUAUCUCAUGUUAUUUCAUCCAGUCCACCAACCAAAUAUACUCCAAAGUCAUUUUGCACUCCACUAUUAGUUACUUUAAAUCAAUUUGAACAUUUAGUCACAAUCUACUACUUAUAAAGUAUCAUUAAAUCCAUAAGAAUCCCCUACAUGUACUGUUACUUCGUCCAGUCUAUUUUUUUCUUGGCAGCUGAGAAAUUUGCUAUUUCCAGCAUUGCCACUUUAUCCUCUACUUAAAUACUAGACUUGUCUCAUUUGCCAAGAUUCGACCUCAUUCUUUCAACACAGCCCAUGCUGCACUAUCUUUAUUCUCGAGUCUUCCAAUGACAGAAAGCUCCCCAUCCUUUCCUUGAAGUUUCUGAAAAUAGGAAGUGUGAAAUCAACUAUAUUCUGGCCAAACAAACAAACCAGUGUUGAAGUUCUCUCCAAAUAUGUUUCAUUACCUUGGAGGUUUCAUAAGCUAAUAACUGCACUGCACUAUAAGGUAUGAUCUGUAAUUCUGUAUCACAUAAACCAUUAUAAGAAAAUAAUCAACUUGAUGCUUAAAAAAGCAACCGCCAAGAAUUGACUAGAAAUGUGACUCAUUGGGAAAAUGGUGCAAAUACCUGUGGAAGAUUUCCUUUAUAAUAUCCUUUGAUACCUUCCUCCUAUCUGAUCAAGCACGGAUCAUCCUCCAUCUUUCUAUGUUUGUAGCCCCAACUCCAGCCUCCUCCCAAUUGAAUAGAGUCUCAUCAAUCUUACUAGGCAUACUCCAGGAAAUGCCUCUGAGAUUAAGGAAAAUUUACCACAGCUGGUCAGUGAAACUGCAGUGUAGGAAGUGGUGUCUCACUGUCUCUGUAUCCUUGCCACAUAAGGAGCACCUGUUCUGCCUCUUGAGACAUGAAAGACUGGACAAACAAGCCUCUUUAGGAAUUUAAGGUACACAUCCAAGAAUAUAGCAUAAUAUGGCAAGAGUAGAAGUUGAUAAAAAGUACUUCCAAAAAGGAUGUGGCAUUUUUUGGCUACCAUUUCAGAAAUCAUAUACGUUCAAAGGUUAUAAACCCUUGAAAUAAGUAAUUUA